UGCACUCCUGUGGAGUUAACUUGUGCUGCUAAGACAGACGAACCAGCUUGUCACUAAAUCUGACUAGCCUCCGGUCUCAAGCUAGGCAUAAGCCUCCACAGAUGCUAUACCUGUAUACCUGAGCACUUUGGCCACUUUGCUUCUGGGUGCCGCCCCCUGCCUCUCCGAUGGUUGGGGACUGUGUGAAUCCCAUCUGCAGCGGUUUCUCAUUUUUUCCUGCCUAGGUUAUCCUUUUGGCUGUCAACUUGUGUACAUCUGGCCUGAUUUUUCAGGAAGGUGAUGGUAUCAGGGUAUUAUACACCCUGUUGUUUGUUUACAUCCACUACGGACCAGCAGAAUCCAAACUCUGAUCUCAACCACCCCUGAAGAAGCCUAACCAGGCGAAAUAUAUAGGGUUUACCAACCGGGUUGUGAUCUCUGCUACAGUAUUUAUGUCUGUUAUGGAAACCUUUUAACCUUGUUAUACCUGUUAGGUUGUUUUGGUUUAUGAAUUGGACUCCGUUAGAGUCCAUGAUAUGUCCUACAACCUGACGCUAUUUUUUUAAAUAAACUAUUAAAAUUUAUAGUACUUGUUCUAUUUUUCUUUAUGGGUUUCUGCUUGCACCGCUAUAGUCCCGCCAUUGUUCGACUUUCCCAUAUACUCUAUAUACAUGACAUGUUUUGUUGAACAUAUAUAAUCAAAGUUCUUUUAGAGCUUAUAUUGUAUGCAUAUGUUAAAAUUGUUUUAUUCUUUUUCAUCUCUUUAGAGUAAUCUAGAGAGACGAUCUUGUCCUAAUUCCCCUGAAGAAGCCAAGAGGCGAAACUAGUAGGGUCGACCUGAUCGAAAAAAUUAUUUCUAGAUCUUGCUC
Molecule: long non-coding RNA, 848 nt
Organism: Rana temporaria (common frog)
Lineage: Eukaryota; Metazoa; Chordata; Amphibia; Anura; Ranidae
Exons: 4
Source: RefSeq, a predicted model, not a curated record